CUUGGGAGAAGGUGGAUUCGGCCACACUGGGACUGAAGACACGGCCCAGACUCCUACGGGAGGCAGCAGUAGGGAAUCUUCCGCAAUGGACGAAAGUCUGACGGAGCAACGCCGCGUGAGCGAUGAAGGCCUUCGGGUCGUAAAGCUCUGUUGUCAGGGAAGAACAAGUACCGGAGUAACUGCCGGUACCUUGACGGUACCUGACCAGAAAGCCACGGCUAACUACGUGCCAGCAGCCGCGGUAAUACGUAGGUGGCAAGCGUUGUCCGGAAUUAUUGGGCGUAAAGCGCGCGCAGGCGGUUCCUUAAGUCUGAUGUGAAAGCCCCCGGCUCAACCGGGGAGGGUCAUUGGAAACUGGGGAACUUGAGUGCAGAAGAGGAGAGCGGAAUUCCACGUGUAGCGGUGAAAUGCGUAGAGAUGUGGAGGAACACCAGUGGGCGAAGGCGGCUCUCUGGUCUGUAACUGAACGCCUGAGGCGCGAAAAGCGUGGGGGAGCGAAACAGGAAUUAGA
This 511-nucleotide ribosomal RNA is filed under the name Mesobacillus boroniphilus. Its description in RNAcentral is "bacterial SSU rRNA". It matches the Rfam family "Bacterial small subunit ribosomal RNA", at positions 291 to 782 of the family's 1533-position model. Lineage: Bacteria; Bacillati; Bacillota; Bacilli; Caryophanales; Bacillaceae. The record is from RNAcentral.